RNAcentral lists this ribosomal RNA (207 nucleotides) under uncultured bacterium. Its description in RNAcentral is "partial 16S ribosomal RNA". It matches the Rfam family "Bacterial small subunit ribosomal RNA", at positions 568 to 774 of the family's 1533-position model. The record is from RNAcentral.
UGUGUAGGUGGUUUAAUAAGUUAUCUGUGAAAUCCCUGGGCUUAACCUGGGCAGGUCAGAUGAUACUGUUAGACUCGAGUAUGGGAGAGGGUAGUGGAAUUUCCGGUGUAGCGGUGAGAUGCGUAGAGAUCGGAAGGAACACCAGUGGCGAAGGCGGCUACCUGGCCUAAUACUGACACUGAGGCACGAAAGCGUGGGGAGCAAACA